GGAGAUUUAGCUCAGUGGUAGAGCGUUUGCCUAGCAAGCGCAAGGCCCUGGGUUCGGUCCCCAGCUCCG
Molecule: non-coding RNA, 69 nt
Organism: Rattus norvegicus (Norway rat)
Lineage: Eukaryota; Metazoa; Chordata; Mammalia; Rodentia; Muridae
Source: Rfam